RNAcentral lists this ribosomal RNA (468 nucleotides) under uncultured bacterium. RNAcentral describes it as "partial 16S ribosomal RNA". It matches the Rfam family "Bacterial small subunit ribosomal RNA", at positions 28 to 507 of the family's 1533-position model. The record is from RNAcentral.
GACGAACGCUGGCGGCGUGCUUAACACAUGCAAGUCGAACGGAAAGGCCCUGCUUUUGUGGGGUGCUCGAGUGGCGAACGGGUGAGUAACACGUGAGUAACCUGCCCUUGACUUUGGGAUAACGUCAGGAAACUGGGGCUAAUACCGGAUAGGAGCUCCUGCUGCAUGGUGGGGGUUGGAAAGUUUCGGCGGUUGGGGAUGGACUCGCGGCUUAUCAGCUUGUUGGUGGGGGAGUGGCUUACCAAGGCUUUGACGGGUAGCCGGCCUGAGAGGGUGACCGGCCACAUUGGGACUGCGAGACGGCCCAGACUCCUACGGGAGGCAGCAGUGGGGAAUAUUGCACAAUGGGCGGAAGCCUGAUGCAGCAACGCCGCGUGCGGGAUGACGGCCUUCGGGUUGUAAACCGCUUUCGCCUGUGACGAAGCGUGAGUGACGGUAAUGGGUAAAGAAGCACCGGCUAACUACGUG